Molecule: ribosomal RNA, 249 nt
Filed under: uncultured soil bacterium
Lineage: Bacteria
Description: partial 16S ribosomal RNA
Rfam family: Bacterial small subunit ribosomal RNA
Source: RNAcentral
AGGACGAACGCUGGCGGCGUGCUUAACACAUGCAAGUCGAGCGGAAAGGCCACUUCGGUGGUACUCGAGCGGCGAACGGGUGAGUAACACGUGAGUAAUCUGCCCUCCACUUUGGGAUAGCCACCGGAAACGGUGAUUAAUACCGGAUAUGACGCGUGCCCGCAUGGGUGUGUGUGGUAAAGUUUUCGGUGGGGAUGUGCUCGCGGCCUAUCAGCUUGAGUGGUGGGGUAAUCGGCCUACCAGUGGCUU